AAGUCGUAACAAGGUUUCCGUAGGUGAACCUGCGGAAGGAUCAUUAACACUUUUUAUAAUUUAAAUUUCUUUCUUUCGUUAAAAAAGAGAAAGAAAUUUAUAUUUAAAACCCCACAAUUUUGGAUGAAUUUAAUUUAUUUAAUUUUUAUUUAUUAAUUUAAUUUUUUAUAACUAAAAUAUUUUAGACUAAAAUCUAUUUUAUAUAAAUUUAUUUAUAAUUUAAAAAACAACUCUUAACAACGGAUAUCUUGGCUCUC
This 257-nucleotide unclassified non-coding RNA is filed under the name Pandora sp. (in: fungi). Its description in RNAcentral is "Pandora sp. (in: Fungi) partial internal transcribed spacer region". The stretch from base 1 to 46 matches the Rfam family "Eukaryotic small subunit ribosomal RNA", at positions 1786 to 1831 of the family's 1831-position model. Lineage: Eukaryota; Fungi; Entomophthoromycota; Entomophthoromycetes; Entomophthorales; Entomophthoraceae. The record is from RNAcentral.